Molecule: long non-coding RNA, 298 nt
Filed under: Phoenix dactylifera (date palm)
Lineage: Eukaryota; Viridiplantae; Streptophyta; Magnoliopsida; Arecales; Arecaceae
Description: long non-coding RNA (PDAC_LNC007477)
Source: RNAcentral
CAUAAUUUAUGGCUAUGCAUGCAUCACGUUUAUGCUGAUUUUAAAGUAUCAUACAUGCAAGUUGAUAUAGCAAUUGCAUCUAGCUAAGUGUAUUGCUUGCAAGAGGUACUAUAGGCUCUUGAUGCUACGGGUUGAAUGCAACUUAAUCGGCCUUGCCAGUGGCCGAGAAUGACUGAGCCGGCCUCGCCAAUGGCUGAUAAAAAACUGAGCUGGCCCUGCCAGUGGCCAAUAACGACUUUGCAGUAGCAUCCGAGAGUAUGAACCACAGCAUAUCGGAGGUACGAUUUUUACGUUAUAU